UCCCGAGGAGGCGGCGGGGACCGCAGGCCUGUAAAGCCACGUGAAAACAGCUGUUUCAGUAGGAGAGAGCAGUGACCAACAGUGCUGGGAUACCUUGGCAAAUGAGAAAGCAAAUCUCUUGAAAUAUAAGCAGUGGUACUUUCCUGGAGGGAGGAGAUGGGAAUUCUCCUGUUGCUCUGAGUGUUGCCAGGUGCAAGAAGUGGUCCACAGUGGUGGUGGACAGUUAUUCUGAGUGACGGCCCUUGCA
RNAcentral lists this long non-coding RNA (247 nucleotides) under Phasianus colchicus (ring-necked pheasant). RNAcentral describes it as "lncRNA (ENSPCLG00000007092.1)". The record is from RNAcentral. Lineage: Eukaryota; Metazoa; Chordata; Aves; Galliformes; Phasianidae.